UACGUAGGUCCCGAGCGUUGUCCGGAUUUAUUGGGCGUAAAGCGAGCGCAGGUGGUUUAUUAAGUCUGGUGUAAAAGGCAGUGGCUCAACCAUUGUAUGCAUUGGAAACUGGUAGACUUGAGUGCAGGAGAGGAGAGUGGAAUUCCAUGUGUAACGGUGAAAUGCGUAGAUAUAUGGAGGAACAUCGGUGGCGAAAGCGGCUCUCUGGCCUGUAACUGACACUGAGGCUCGAAAGCGUGGGGAGCAAACAGG
RNAcentral lists this ribosomal RNA (252 nucleotides) under uncultured bacterium. RNAcentral describes it as "partial 16S ribosomal RNA". It matches the Rfam family "Bacterial small subunit ribosomal RNA", at positions 524 to 776 of the family's 1533-position model. The record is from RNAcentral.